UCCAGCAUAAAAAUAAACAUAAUAUCACUGUGACAGGGACUGAUUCAGUAUGGAAACAUUGACUGUAGAAGCAUUCUGGUUUACUUCAAAAGACUUUCAAUAACUGCCAAAAGAGUUUAUUUGGAUAGUUUCAGUUUCAUGUGUUUAAUCAACGAAAAACUCAAUCCAGAGUUGAAAGUUUGGCACAGCAAGUGUUCGGAAAAGGGGUGCAUGUGUUCUUAUUUUGGGGAGCGGGCCCACACUUAUAAUCUUCAAAGCUGGCAUCAUCUCAAGCCUACAUUUCCGUGAUUUCUACAACAUUUCACCAUGUUCUACAUCUUACAAUAGUAAAUGUUGCAAAGAAAUUCUGUAACUACAGAUAAGACUACAGGCUAGAAAAGUACAAGUGAUUUCCCUCUGGUUAACAGCUGAAUGCUUGAUGUCACAGGCCUUUAUUCUAAGGACUCAUGUUCGCUCCGUUGGUUUCAAUGCACAGUAUGUGUGAGUGAAUCUAUAUUUGGCCAUUUAGUUAUAC
RNAcentral lists this long non-coding RNA (514 nucleotides) under Homo sapiens (human). Its description in RNAcentral is "HSALNT0119142". Lineage: Eukaryota; Metazoa; Chordata; Mammalia; Primates; Hominidae. The record is from RNAcentral.